AUUUUCGGCAAUGGGGGGAACCCUGACCGAGCAACGCAGCGUGAAGGAUGACUGCCCUAUGGGUUGUAAACUUCUUUUAUAAAGGAAUAAAGUCGGGUAUGUAUACCCGUUUGCAUGUACUUUAUGAAUAAGGAUCGGCUAACUCCGUGCCAGCAGCCGCGGUAAUACGGAGGAUCCGAGCGUUAUCCGGAUUUAUUGGGUUUAAAGGGAGCGUAGAUGGAUGUUUAAGUCAGUUGUGAAAGUUUGCGGCUCAACCGUAAAAUUGCAGUUGAUACUGGAUAUCUUGAGUGCAGUUGAGGCAGGCGGAAUUCGUGGUGUAGCGGUGAAAUGCUUAGAUAUCACGAAGAACUCCGAUUGCGAAGGCAGCCUGCUAAGCUGCAACUGACAUUGAGGCUCGAAAGUGUGGGUAUCAAA
This 414-nucleotide ribosomal RNA is filed under the name uncultured bacterium. RNAcentral describes it as "bacterial SSU rRNA". It matches the Rfam family "Bacterial small subunit ribosomal RNA", at positions 361 to 772 of the family's 1533-position model. The record is from RNAcentral.